GAAACCGUACUAUACAGAAUCAUUUCUGUAGUGUGUAUUUCGCGAUCCCAACCAAAAAGCGACACCUGUCCGCCGCGAUGAACGGGAGACGGGGGAGUUGCGAGCGGGAAGAACGCGGCUUGCCGCGCUGAGGACCGUGACGCGUCCGCAAGGACGUGUCAGCGACUUGCUCUUCUGAGCUGU
Molecule: small nucleolar RNA, 183 nt
Filed under: Oesophagostomum dentatum (nodular worm)
Lineage: Eukaryota; Metazoa; Nematoda; Chromadorea; Rhabditida; Strongylidae
Description: Small nucleolar RNA U3
Rfam family: Small nucleolar RNA U3
About the family: Small nucleolar RNAs (snoRNAs) are involved in the processing and modification of rRNA in the nucleolus. There are two main classes of snoRNAs: the box C/D class, and the box H/ACA class.
Source: Rfam by way of RNAcentral